AACUUUUAGCAACGGAUCUCUUGGCUCCGGCGUCGAUGAAGAACGCAGCGAAAUGCGAUACGUGGUGUGAAUUGCAGACUUGUGAAUCAUCGAAAUUUUGAACGCACAUUGCGCCCAUUAGCAUUCUUUUGGGCACGCCUGUUCGAGCGUCGUCUAAAUCUCGGCCCGGCCGGUGAUGGGAGCUGUCUGUGACACUCCUGAAAUGGCGCGGCAUUCUCCUGAUCCAAAACGCGGCCAGACGCGAACGAGGAAAUGGGAUUAUGCUGGAAACCUCUUUGACUGUUUCGACCUCGAAUCAGGCGGGGAUACCCGCUGGACUUAAGCAUAUCAAUAAGCGGAGGCU
This 343-nucleotide unclassified non-coding RNA is filed under the name uncultured Ascomycota. RNAcentral describes it as "sequence contains ITS2". The stretch from base 1 to 152 matches the Rfam family "5.8S ribosomal RNA". Lineage: Eukaryota; Fungi; Ascomycota. The record is from RNAcentral.